Molecule: long non-coding RNA, 209 nt
Filed under: Mytilus galloprovincialis (Mediterranean mussel)
Lineage: Eukaryota; Metazoa; Mollusca; Bivalvia; Mytilida; Mytilidae
Source: RNAcentral
GGAAGCAAUUCGCCGAAAUAUUUUCCGUAUACCAAAUGACCUUAGCGUGAAUCUCUCGUAAAAAUCCGUCGAUCGCAAUAAGCAUUGAUCUGUCACUGAAAUAAUCUAUAAUCUGAUUGCUCAUGUUUAACACGUGCUCAAUAUCCAUGAUUUUUUGUUGAUUGCUUACUAUGAGGUGACAAUCGGUAAACUUCGGAGUCAAAACACGG